Molecule: ribosomal RNA, 98 nt
Filed under: uncultured bacterium
Lineage: Bacteria
Description: partial 16S ribosomal RNA
Rfam family: Bacterial small subunit ribosomal RNA
Source: RNAcentral
UAACGGCUCACCUAGGCGACGAUCCCUAGCUGGUCUGAGAGGAUGACCAGCCACACUGGAACUGAGACACGGUCCAGACUCCUACGGGAGGCAGCAUG